This 240-nucleotide long non-coding RNA is filed under the name Elaeis guineensis (African oil palm). RNAcentral's name for it is "long non-coding RNA (EGUI_LNC059144)". The record is from RNAcentral. Lineage: Eukaryota; Viridiplantae; Streptophyta; Magnoliopsida; Arecales; Arecaceae.
GGUGCAGAAGAAGUCGAUGUGCCCACAUCAGUAGAGAGAAAGAAGCUACUAUCUGUCUGAUCUCUCUCUCCAAAUCAAAGAUCCUGCCAUUGAAUCUCAUAAUGGAUCUCUCCACACCCUCCAAUCUAAUACUCAAGUUUGAUAGAAGCUCCAUCAAUGAGAAAAUAUGUGGCACAAUGGAUGAAUCCAAUGAUGGAGCAGAGAAGGCACUCGAAGAGGUAGGGUGAAACUACUGUGGUU